GUAUUUUGUUGGCGCUAUUGCUUCCUUGCGGAAUCGCUAGCAGGUUUAAAGUAGCAGCGUAGUUUCUCGUUAUAACAAAAAGUUUGCACAUACUUAGAAGGAACCUUUAAGCCUUCUCAAUCGGUACCGUAGUCCGAUGACAUCUAAAUGAUCCUUCCGCAGGUUCACCUACGGAAA
RNAcentral lists this unclassified non-coding RNA (177 nucleotides) under uncultured fungus. RNAcentral describes it as "sequence contains ITS1". Lineage: Eukaryota; Fungi. The record is from RNAcentral.